UGGCGAACGGGUGAGUAACACGUGAGUAACCUGCCCCAGACUCUGGGAUAACCCCGGGAAACCGGAGCUAAUACCGGAUACGACACGAAGAGGCAUCUCUAUCGUGUGGAAAGCUUUUCGGUCUGGGAUGGACUCGCGGCCUAUCAGCUAGUUGGUGAGGUAACGGCCCACCAAGGCGACGACGGGUAGCUGGUCUGAGAGGACGAUCAGCCGGAUUGGGACUGAGAUACGGCCCAG
RNAcentral lists this ribosomal RNA (237 nucleotides) under uncultured bacterium. Its description in RNAcentral is "partial 16S ribosomal RNA". It matches the Rfam family "Bacterial small subunit ribosomal RNA", at positions 96 to 334 of the family's 1533-position model. The record is from RNAcentral.